RNAcentral lists this ribosomal RNA (492 nucleotides) under uncultured bacterium. RNAcentral describes it as "partial 16S ribosomal RNA". It matches the Rfam family "Bacterial small subunit ribosomal RNA", at positions 29 to 507 of the family's 1533-position model. The record is from RNAcentral.
AGUGAACGCUGGCGGUAGGCCUAACACAUGCAAGUCGAACGGCAGCACAUUAAGAGCUUGCUCUUACGGGUGGCGAGUGGCGGACGGGUGAGGAAUACAUCGGAAUCUACUUUUUCGUGGGGGAUAACGUAUGGAAACUUACGCUAAUACCGCAUACGACCUACGGGUGAAAGCAGGGGAUCUUCGGACCUUGCGCGAUUGAAUGAGCCGAUGUCGGAUUAGCUAGUUGGCGGGGUAAAGGCCCACCAAGGCGACGAUCCGUAGCUGGUCUGAGAGGAUGAUCAGCCACACUGGAACUGAGACACGGUCCAGACUCCUACGGGAGGCAGCAGUGGGGAAUAUUGGACAAAGGGCGCAAGCCUGAUCCAGCCAUACCGCGUGGGUGAAGAAGGCCUUCGGGUUGUAAAGCCCUUUUGUUGGGAAAGAAAAGCAGCAGGUUAAUACCCCGCUGUUCUGACGGUACCCAAAGAAUAAGCACCGGCUAACUUCGUG